UACGUAGGGUCCGAGCGUUGUCCGGAUUUAUUGGGCGUAAAGAGCGUGUAGGCGGCCUGACAAGUCUGCUGUGAAAACUCGAGGCUCAACCUCGAGAUGUCGGCGGAAACUGUCUGGCUAGAGUCCGGAAGAGGAGAGUGGAAUUCCUGGUGUAGCGGUGAAAUGCGCAGAUAUCAGGAAGAACACCUAUGGCGAAGGCAGCUCUCUGGGACGGUACUGACGCUGAGACGCGAAAGCGUGGGGAGCGAACAGG
This 253-nucleotide ribosomal RNA is filed under the name uncultured bacterium. RNAcentral's name for it is "partial 16S ribosomal RNA". It matches the Rfam family "Bacterial small subunit ribosomal RNA", at positions 524 to 776 of the family's 1533-position model. The record is from RNAcentral.